UGGGGAAUAUUGGACAAUGGGCGAAAGCCUGAUCCAGCCAUGCCGCGUGGAUGAAGAAGGCCCUAGGGUUGUAAAGUCCUUUCGGUGGUGAAGAUAAUGACGGUAACCACAGAAGAAGCCCCGGCUAAUUUCGUGCCAGCAGCCGCGGUAAUACGAAAGGGGCUAGCGUUGUUCGGAAUUACUGGGCGUAAAGCGCACGUAGGCGGCCUAGCAAGUUGGGGGUGAAAUCCCAGGGCUCAACCCUGGAACU
Molecule: ribosomal RNA, 250 nt
Filed under: uncultured bacterium
Lineage: Bacteria
Description: partial 16S ribosomal RNA
Rfam family: Bacterial small subunit ribosomal RNA
Source: RNAcentral